Molecule: ribosomal RNA, 422 nt
Filed under: uncultured bacterium
Lineage: Bacteria
Description: partial 16S ribosomal RNA
Rfam family: Bacterial small subunit ribosomal RNA
Source: RNAcentral
AAUCUUCCGCAAUGGACGAGAGUCUGACGGAGCAACGCCGCGUGAGGGAUUAAGGUUUNGGGAUGNGNAAACUCUGUUGGUGGGGNGGACCAAGUCUCAGAGUCACUGCCGGUACCUGGCCGGUACCUGACGAGAACGCCACGGCCGACUACGCGACAGCAGCCGGGGUAAUACGGAGGUAGCAAGCGUUGUCCGGAUUUAUUGGGCGUAAAGCGCGCGCAGGCGGUCUUUUAAGUCUGAUGUGAAAUCUUACAGCUUAACUGUAAGCGGUCAUUGGAAACUGGGGGCCUUGAGUGCAGAAGAGGAGAGUGGAAUUACAUGUGUAGCGGUGAAAUGCCUAGAGAUAUGGAGGAACACCAGUGGCGAAGGCGACUCUCUGGUCUGUACCUGACGCUGAGGCGCAAAAGCGUGGGGAUCAAACA